AUCUAUGACCAUGCCACCCUGAACAAGCCCAAUCCCAUCUGAUCUCGGAAGCUAAGCAGGGUCGGGCCUGGUUAGUACUUGGAUGGGAGACCACUUAGGAAGACCAGGUGCUGUACGUG
This 119-nucleotide ribosomal RNA is filed under the name Pteropus alecto (black flying fox). Lineage: Eukaryota; Metazoa; Chordata; Mammalia; Chiroptera; Pteropodidae. The record is from RNAcentral.